CUGAUUGAUUGGUGCAGUUUCCCGAAAGUCUCAAUUUGACAAGAAAAAAAAAAAAUUAGCCAGAACAAAAGGCCAUUGAUAACAGUUUGGACAAGGGAGAGGCGGAGGUGAGCUCAUCUGGUGUGUGAAGAAGGUGGAAAAGUCCCUGGAAUAGAAAAAGUGAGUGAAAAAAAAAUUUAGCCACCAAUAUCUUCACUGCUGCAAAAAAAAUGGAGUUAAUUCAGUGGAUUGGGAUAAGCAUAUGUGUUCAGUCUGUGAACUGAGCUCCAUUCCAUUUUUAUUUCCACUUCCAUCUAUCUGUUAAUCCAAACUCUUGGAAUUCUCUAGAUCUUUUUCAUGAUAUUGAAAACAAAAACAACAAAAUAGAACCCAAACCACAAAAGGAGAUGCCUCUUGAAAAGGAAAGUUCUGCCUGUUCUUGCCAUGGGUAGAUGCAUGGCCCAGUCUGGGGCACCAGCUGCCAUGUGGUUCCCCGCAGGUUGGGUCCAAGCGCAGGCUCUGGCACAACCCUUGUAUGCUUGGCAUCUGGUUAGCAUCUCCUUGGGCUUGUGUAAUGCUCCUGAUAGGUAUUUUGAGGUUUCAAAAUACUUCCCCCCCCCCCUUUUUUUUUUUUUUUUUUUUUUUUGUCUUCUUGAGACAGGGUCUCCCUGUAGCCCCAGCUGGCCUGGAACUCACUAUAUAGACCAGGCUGGCCUUGAACUCACAGAGAUCCGCCUGUCUCUGCCUCCCAAGUGCUGGGACUACGGGCAUGCACCACCACGCCGGGAACCCUUUCCUAUUUUUAAAACUUAGAAAAUCCAUAAUACUAUUUGACAAAAAUAAAAAAUAAAACAACCGUGUGUUUUUAAAUUUUAUCUUUGACUUCUGUCCCAUUUACUUUGCUUUGUGACUUCACCGUUUAACAAUAAAUUAUCUAAAACAAAACACAAGGAUGCU
Molecule: long non-coding RNA, 936 nt
Filed under: Nannospalax galili (Upper Galilee mountains blind mole rat)
Lineage: Eukaryota; Metazoa; Chordata; Mammalia; Rodentia; Spalacidae
Description: lncRNA (ENSNGAG00000024450.1)
Source: RNAcentral